Molecule: unclassified non-coding RNA, 384 nt
Filed under: uncultured fungus
Lineage: Eukaryota; Fungi
Description: sequence contains ITS1
Rfam family: 5.8S ribosomal RNA (bases 1-104)
Source: RNAcentral
AAACUGCGAUAACUAAUGUGAAUUGCAGACCUGCUUGUGACUCAUUGAAAUUUUGAACGCACUGCGCCCGGGGGCAACCGUCGGGCACACCAGGUUGAGUGACACCACAUUACCCUUGCAACCUCUUCUACAGGAAGAAGGAGGCAGAUUUGAGGAUGUAGCUUCUUCAUCUGAGGUUACUUCCUUUCAAAGCAUCUUGACUGUCGAUCUGUUUGGGAUGGAAGGGCGAAAGUCCAGUGCAGAGGGUCUUCAAAAGCCCAAUAAUCUGGUCCAGUAGCCCCAACACCGCAGGACUUCAGCAACUACAGAUACCGACCAGGAAGCCAUCUGGUCAAUUUAACAAAGUGUGUCCUCAGCUCUGGUGGGACUACCCGCUGAACUUAA